RNAcentral lists this ribosomal RNA (406 nucleotides) under uncultured bacterium. Its description in RNAcentral is "partial 16S ribosomal RNA". It matches the Rfam family "Bacterial small subunit ribosomal RNA", at positions 30 to 526 of the family's 1533-position model. The record is from RNAcentral.
AUUGAACGCUGGCGGCAGGCCUAACACAUGCAAGUCGAGCGAGAGGCGGACGGGUGAGUAAUGUUUGGGAAACUGCACGAUGGAGGGGGAUAACUAAUGGAAACGGUAGCUAAUACCGCAUACCAUCUGAUGUGCCCCGAUGGGAUUAGCUAGUAGGGGGGGUAACGGCUCACCUAGGCGAGCAACCUUAUCUGGUCGGAGAGGACGACCCGCUACACUGGAAGGGAGACACGGUCCAGACUCCUACGGGAGGCAGCAGUGGGUAAUAUUGCAGAAUGGGCGCAAGCCUGAUGCAGCCAUGCCGCGUGUGUGAAGAAGGCCUUCGGGUUGUAAAGUACUUUCAGCGGGGAGGCGUUACCCGCAGAAGAAGCACCGGCUAACUCCGUGCCAGCCGCCGCGGUAAUUC